GAUGAACGCUGGCGGCGUGCCUAAUACAUGCAAGUCGAGCGAACAGACGGGGAGCUUGCUCCUUCGACGUUAGCGGCGGACGGGUGAGUAACACGUAGGUAACCUACCUAUAAGACUGGGAUAACUUCGGGAAACCGGAGCUAAUACCGGAUAAUAUUUCGAGCCGCAUGGUUCGAUAGUGAAAGAUGGCUUUGCUAUCACUUAUAGAUGGACCUGCGCCGUAUUAGCUAGUUGGUAAGGUAACGGCUUACCAAGGCAACGAUACGUAGCCGACCUGAGAGGGUGAUCGGCCACACUGGAACUGAGACACGGUCCAGACUCCUACGGGAGGCAGCAGUAGGGAAUCUUCCGCAAUGGGCGAAAGCCUGACGGAGCAACGCCGCGUGAGUGAUGAAGGUCUUCGGAUCGUAAAACUCUGUUAUUAGGGAAGAACAAACGUGUAAGUAACUGUGCACGUCUUGACGGUACCUAAUCAGAAAGCCACGGCUAACUACGUG
This 497-nucleotide ribosomal RNA is filed under the name uncultured bacterium. Its description in RNAcentral is "partial 16S ribosomal RNA". It matches the Rfam family "Bacterial small subunit ribosomal RNA", at positions 28 to 507 of the family's 1533-position model. The record is from RNAcentral.